This 1026-nucleotide ribosomal RNA is filed under the name Triticum aestivum (bread wheat). RNAcentral's name for it is "partial small subunit ribosomal RNA". Lineage: Eukaryota; Viridiplantae; Streptophyta; Magnoliopsida; Poales; Poaceae. The record is from RNAcentral.
AUGGCUAAGCGCCUGGUCCUCUUUGCGGCAGUAGUCGUCGCCCUCGUGGCUCUCACCGCCGCUGAAGGUGAGGCCUCUGGACAACUACAAUGUGAGCACGAGCUCGAGGCAUGCCAACAGGUGGUGGACCAGCAACUCCGAGACGUUAGCCCCGGGUGCCGCCCCAUCACCGUCAGCCCGGGCACGAGACAAUACGAGCAGCAACCUGUGGUGCCGUCCAAGGCCGGAUCCUUCUACCCCAGCGAGACUACGCCUUCGCAGCAACUCCAACAAAUGAUAUUUUGGGGAAUACCUGCACUACUAAGAAGGUAUUACCCAAGUGUAACUUCUUCGCAGCAGGGGUCAUACUAUCCAGGCCAAGCUUCUCCCCAACAGUCAGGACAAGGACAGCAGCCAGGACAAGAACAGCAACCAGGACAAGGGCAACAAGAUCAGCAGCCAGGACAAAGACAACAAGGAUACUACCCAACUUCUCCGCAACAGCCAGGACAAGGGCAACAACUGGGACAAGGGCAACCAGGGUACUACCCAACUUCACAGCAGCCAGGACAAAAGCAGCAGGCAGGACAAGGGCAACAAUCAGGACAAGGACAACAAGGGUACUACCCAACUUCCCCGCAACAGUCAGGACAAGGGCAACAACCGGGACAAGGGCAACCAGGGUACUACCCAACUUCUCCGCAGCAGUCAGGACAAGGGCAACAACCAGGACAUGAGCAACAGCCAGGACAAUGGCUGCAACCAGGACAAGGGCAACAAGGGUACUAUCCAACUUCUUCACAGCAGUCAGGACAAGGGCAUCAAUCAGGACAAGGGCAACAAGGGUACUACCCAACUUCUCUGUGGCAACCAGGACAAGGGCAACAACCAGGACAAGGGCAACAAGGCUACGCCAGCCCAUACCAUGUUAGCGCGGAGUACCAGGCGGCCCGCCUAAAGGUGGCAAAGGCGCAGCAGCUCGCGGCACAGCUGCCGGCAAUGUGCCGGCUGGAGGGCAGCGACGCAUUGUCGACCAGGCAGUGAUAG